AAGGUUGCCUUUGUAGUUAAGGGUCCUGGUCUCUGAUCCUAACUUUGCUACUUACUUUCUAUCUUAUUUACCUUGGCCAAGUCCCUUAACUACUACUGGAAGACUCAGUUUCUUAAUGUAAAAUGAAAAAUCUAGACUACUGAGCAGGCACAAAUUGGAUUUGGAUGUGAAGGUACUUUUUCAAAGAAUAUAUAUAUAUUUUUUAAAAUAAAUCUUCAGUGACAAGUAAAAGAAGAUAAAGUCUCCAGAGAGACAAAGGGGAAUCCUGACUCUCAGAAAGGAAUACAUUCUCUGAUCAAGAGAUGGUCCUACAAAAGUCCAGAUGAGAG
RNAcentral lists this long non-coding RNA (329 nucleotides) under Monodelphis domestica (gray short-tailed opossum). RNAcentral describes it as "lncRNA (ENSMODG00000036929.1)". Lineage: Eukaryota; Metazoa; Chordata; Mammalia; Didelphimorphia; Didelphidae. The record is from RNAcentral.